Molecule: long non-coding RNA, 716 nt
Organism: Mirounga angustirostris (Northern elephant seal)
Lineage: Eukaryota; Metazoa; Chordata; Mammalia; Carnivora; Phocidae
Exons: 4
Source: RefSeq, a predicted model, not a curated record
AGGGAAUUGUACCCACCACAGCUCAGUGAUCAGUGUGGGUGGAUUAGAAAUCAACUAGACCCCGGGAGCCAGUUCUUGGGUGCAGUAGAAUAGUUCCCCUGUAUGCCGGGAAUAUGACCCGCAUGAGGCACUAGGUGACGACCAAGCAGAGGCAUGAGUCAGAAUGAAAGCAAAAAGAAGACUGCCCUGAUGCCAAAUACUCCAACUGAAGUACGGAAGUAGAUUUACUGGUCCUUUGGGAUGAUGAUGGUGGAAUUUCCGCUGAUAUGAUUGCAUGAGUGAGUCCAGUCUGGUGGGAGAAACCACAGAGUAAUUUGAACAGGUACUAUCCAUCCUCCACGCCCCCACCCCCAAGAUGGGAAAACUCUUAAAAGGACUUCGAAAAAUCUCCUGGACAUGCCACAAUCCAAGGCAAUCUUCUAUCUCCCAACCCUGUUGGAAGUAAUUCUCUCCUUCCCUUCUCUUAUAGCAUCGGUCAUUGUCUCCCCUGCUGGUAUUUAUGAACAUGGCCUAUCUCUGUAUAAGUGAAUCCUAAAAGCAAGAUCCUUAUUUUACUCAUUAUUGAAUAAAAGAUCCUCACUAUUAGGUAAAAAAUCCUGUGGGCAAGAGCCUUAUUUUAAUUAUUAGUGCCUAAAAUACAGUACCUUAUAAAUAGUAGGACUUAAAAAUAUUUAUGAAUAGAAAAGAAAUAAUUGGUCAUUUAUUAGAUGUGUGAA